ACAUGCAAGUCGAGGGGCAGCAUGGUCUUAGCUUGCUAAGGCCGAUGGCGACCGGCGCACGGGUGAGUAACACGUAUCCAACCUGCCGUCUACUCUUGGACAGCCUUCUGAAAGGAAGAUUAAUACAAGAUGGCAUCAUGAGUCCGCAUGUUCACAUGAUUAAAGGUAUUCCGGUAGACGAUGGGGAUGCGUUCCAUUAGAUAGUAGGCGGGGUAACGGCCCACCUAGUCUUCGAUGGAUAGGGGUUCUGAGAGGAAGGUCCCCCACAUUGGAACUGAGACACGGUCCAAACUCCUACGGGAGGCAGCAGUGAGGAAUAUUGGUCAAUGGGCGAGAGCCUGAACCAGCCAAGUAGCGUGAAGGAUGACUGCCCUAUGGGUUGUAAACUUCUUUUAUAAAGGAAUAAAGUCGGGUAUGUAUACCCGUUUGCAUGUACUUUAUGAAUAAGGAUCGGCUAACUCCGUGCCAGCAGCCGCGGUAAUACGGAGGAUCCGAGCGUUAUCCGGAUUUAUUGGGUUUAAAGGGAGCGUAGAUGGAUGUUUAAGUCAGUUGUGAAAGUUUGCGGCUCAACCGUAAAAUUGCAGUUGAUACUGGAUAUCUUGAGUGCAGUUGAGGCAGGCGGAAUUCGUGGUGUAGCGGUGAAAUGCUUAGAUAUCACGAAGAACUCCGAUUGCGAAGGCAGCCUGCUAAGCUGCAACUGACAUUGAGGCUCGAAAG
RNAcentral lists this ribosomal RNA (717 nucleotides) under uncultured bacterium. RNAcentral describes it as "bacterial SSU rRNA". It matches the Rfam family "Bacterial small subunit ribosomal RNA", at positions 53 to 759 of the family's 1533-position model. The record is from RNAcentral.